This 474-nucleotide ribosomal RNA is filed under the name uncultured bacterium. RNAcentral describes it as "bacterial SSU rRNA". It matches the Rfam family "Bacterial small subunit ribosomal RNA", at positions 335 to 803 of the family's 1533-position model. The record is from RNAcentral.
ACUCCUACGGGAGGCAGCAGUGGGGAAUAUUGGACAAUGGGCGCAAGCCUGAUCCAGCCAUACCGCGUGGGUGAAGAAGGCCUUCGGGUUGUAAAGUCCCUUUGUUGGGUAAAGAAAUACCAGCUGGCUAAUACCCGGUUGGGAUGACGGUACCCAAAGAAUAAGCACCGGCUAACUUCGUGCCAGCAGCCGCGGUAAUACGAAGGGUGCAAGCGUUACUCGGAAUUACUGGGCGUAAAGCGUGCGUAGGUGGUCGUUUAAGUCCGUUGUGAAAGCCCUGGGCUCAACCUGGGAACUGCAGUGGAUACUGGGCGACUAGAGUGUGGUAGAGGGUAGCGGAAUUCCUGGUGUAGCAGUGAAAUGCGUAGAGAUCAGGAGGAACAUCCAUGGCGAAGGCAGCUACCUGGACCAACACUGACACUGAGGCACGAAAGCGUGGGAGCAAACAGGAUUAGAUACCCUGGUAGCGACUGA